UUUUGUAGUUGGUGGUAUGAUAGUCAAUGUUGUCGUGUUCCGCCAGCUGCUGCGCCGGCGUUGGCAGCGCACAGCCGCUACCAGCUGACACGCCGACCGGUGCGCGGCGCGCGUGCGCCGGGCGCCGACGGCCGUCGUCUGGCAGCAACAGCGCUGCCAGUGACUCGCGCUGCUGCUGCAGAAACUGGACAAGGAUCGUAGAAUCCUGGCGUGUUUUUGUAACGUCCAUUAGAGUGAUUUAGACGCAGCGUGUAGAAAGGACUCGUUUAUUGACGUGUGACUUUCUGACAGCUCAGUCACCUGUUGACGGCGGCGCACAGCGUCACCUACCCGCCCUACAGCCGGCCCAGCAGGCGGACGGAGAGGCCCGCCCGGGCCCAGUGCCGCACGGAGAGGCGGCGGCGCUGGAGGCCAACACCCG
RNAcentral lists this long non-coding RNA (421 nucleotides) under Amphibalanus amphitrite. RNAcentral describes it as "uncharacterized LOC122384595, transcript variant X2". The record is from RNAcentral. Lineage: Eukaryota; Metazoa; Arthropoda; Thecostraca; Balanomorpha; Balanidae.